This 253-nucleotide ribosomal RNA is filed under the name uncultured bacterium. RNAcentral describes it as "partial 16S ribosomal RNA". It matches the Rfam family "Bacterial small subunit ribosomal RNA", at positions 524 to 776 of the family's 1533-position model. The record is from RNAcentral.
UACGUAGGAUGCAAGCGUUGUCCGGAUUUACUGGGCGUAAAGCGCACGUAGGCGGCUUUUUAAGUCAGGGGUGAAAUCCUGGAGCUCAACUCCAGAACUGCCUUUGAUACUGAGAAGCUUGAGUCCGGGAGAGGUGAGUGGAACUGCGAGUGUAGAGGUGAAAUUCGUAGAUAUUCGCAAGAACACCAGUGGCGAAGGCGGCUCACUGGCCCGGUACUGACGCUGAGGUGCGAAAGCGUGGGGAGCAAACAGG